GAUGAACGCUGGCGGCGUGCCUAAUACAUGCAAGUCGAGUGAACAGAUAAGGAGCUUGCUCCUUUGACGUUAGCGGCGGACGGGUGAGUAACACGUGGGUAACCUACCUAUAAGACUGGGAUAACUUCGGGAAACCGGAGCUAAUACCGGAUAACAUUUGGAACCGCAUGGUUCUAAAGUGAAAGAUGGUUUUGCUAUCACUUAUAGAUGGACCCGCGCCGUAUUAGCUAGUUGGUAAGGUAACGGCUUACCAAGGCAACGAUACGUAGCCGACCUGAGAGGGUGGUCGGCCAGACUGGAACUGAGACACGGUCCAGACUCCUAGGGGAGGCAGCAGUAGGGAAUCUUCCGCAAUGGGCGAAAGCCUGACGGAGCAACGCCGCGUGAGUGAUGAAGGGUUUCGGCUCGUAAAACUCUGUUAUUAGGGAAGAACAAACGUGUAAGUAACUGUGCACGUCUUGACGGUACCUAAUCAGAAAGCCACGGCUAACUACGUG
This 497-nucleotide ribosomal RNA is filed under the name uncultured bacterium. RNAcentral describes it as "partial 16S ribosomal RNA". It matches the Rfam family "Bacterial small subunit ribosomal RNA", at positions 28 to 507 of the family's 1533-position model. The record is from RNAcentral.